GGACUCACACGCUCAGGUACACUCAUACACACUCACACACUCCUACACACACUCAAAUACCCCUGGACUCACACGCUCAGGUACAUUCAUACACACUCACACACUCCUACACACACUCAAAUAGUCCCGGACUCACACGCUCAGGUACACUCAUACACACUCACACACACUCCUAUACACACUCAAAUACUCCUGGAUUCACACACUCAGGUACACUCAUACACACUCACACACUCCUACACACACUCAAAUAGUCCCAGACUCACAUGCUCAGGUAUACUCAGAUACACUCAGACACACUCCUACACACAAAUACUUCCAGACUCACAUGCUCAGGUACACUCAGACACACUCACACACACUCCUACACACACUCAAAUACUCCCGGACUCACAUGCUCAGGUACACACAGACACACUCACACACACUCCUACAUACAAACA
Oryctolagus cuniculus (rabbit) is the source of this 443-nucleotide non-coding RNA. Lineage: Eukaryota; Metazoa; Chordata; Mammalia; Lagomorpha; Leporidae. The record is from RefSeq and is a predicted model, not a curated record.